CACCGGAAGAGCAGGGCAUUGCUCACUUGGAAACGUACACAAACCUUGGCUUGUACGUGGGCGGCUGAGUGAGUGACCAUGGAAAGGGCUUGGGUCAGAAAUAACUCAAUUACUAUAGGGGUGAUGGUCACCCUGUGUGCAAUAUGGGGUGAUGGUCACCCUGUGUGCAAUAUGGGGUGAUGGUCACCCUGUGUGCAAUAUGGGGUGAUGGUCACCCUGUGUGCAAUAUGGGGGUGAUGGUCACCCUGUGUGCAAUAUGGGGGUGAUGGUCACCCUGUGUGCAAUAUGGGGUGAUGGUCACCCUGUGUGCAAUAUGGGGGUGAUGGUCACCCUGUGAUCUAUACUGAGCUUGGUACACUCUUUAUAUGGAUAUAGGGGACAAGUCACCAAACAUUAAAGGCACACUAUAGGCGUCCGGGUCACAUCAGCUUAUUGAAGUUGUCUGGGGGCCGUGUCCCUGUCCCACUUAGUCCUGCAAUGUACGACGAUGCAGUUUUUUAGAAACUGCAAUAAUAACUUUGCAGCACUAUCAGCCACCAGAGGCGCUUCCAGGAUUCUAAUGGAUUUUAAAGGACCACUAUAGUGCCAGGAAAACAAACUUGUUUCCCCCCCCACCCUCUGGGUCCCACUCCCGCCGGGCUGAAGGGGGAGGAAGGGGUUAAACACUUACCUUUCUCCAGCGCCGGGCUCCCUCAGCCCUGGGGACUCUCCUCCCUCUUCCAACGUCAUCCGCUGAAUGCGCAUGGGCGGCAAGAGCCGUGCGCGCAUUCAGUCAGUCCAUAGGAAAGCAUUUCUCAAUGCUUUCCUAUGGAUGACAGCAUCUUCUCACUGUGAAAACCACAGCGAGAAGCGCCUCUAGCGGCUGUCAAUAAGACAGCCACUAAAGGCUGGAUUAACCCUAAUGUAAACAUAGCAGUUUGUCUGAAACUGCUAUGUUUACAGCUGCAGGGUUAACCCUAGACGGGCCUGGCACCCAGACCACUUCAUUGAGCUGGGUGCCUAUAGUGGUCCUUUAAGUCCAUUAAACAACACUGGAUGUCUUCGUACUCUGUAAAAAAGCAAAACCUUUAUAUUAGGAGUAGGAUUUCCUGGUCAUUGCAGCGCUCACCCCACAACUCCCUUGGACAGUAAUAAUUAUUUUGUUUGUCCUGUCUACAUUCCCCUUGGACACUAGAUUUUAGGCUGCCAUAUUUUCCUUGUGAACAUUUUAGUUCCUUACCCAGGGGGCAUUCAGCCUCUCUCUUCUGUAAGUUGCAGUACAUGUCCCCCUUAGUUGCCAGGGGCUAAGUUGCACUAAUGCUGAGAGUGGCAGCAUGGAACUUGUAUGGCCUGGGUUUGUAGGUUCCCAUGUGGCCUUUGAGAACAGUUCCAGGAAUGCUUUAUUGCUCUCUGUUUGUGCUUUCAACAUUCUUGUUUGCUGCCAUGUAUUCUAGCAGGGAGUACUGGAUAAAAUGCGACUGAUUUAAUCAGUGGAAUGCAAUUUUUUAUUUUUUUUCCAUUCCUCUGUGGUGGCUGUAAGUCAGGGAAAUGUUUUUAUGUUGUACUUUGGUAUAAUCUAUAGGACACCAUUCUGUGCAUGCGCAGAAUUAGGGUUCCAAUUUUGUGCACUUUCCCAUGGAUGUUAGGGGCACUUCGACUUUAAUGAAGGUUUCUCUAAUGCUUCAUUUAUUAACGAUUGAGGUCUUUAUAGUCACAUAGCUUUUCAGCUCCUAUAGGUUACAUCAUUUAUAAACCCACACAUUCCGUAUAGCAGAUUUCUCCCUUAGUUCAACAGGCACACCAUUGAGAGAUUGACACACCCCUUCAGGCACAUCAUGUCAAAGGGGAUGUUUUGGCACUAGGACACCAGAUUCUCUGUUUUCUAUUUACAGGUUUCUAGAGGAGCCUCACCACAAAUCUCAAUACUAUAUGUAGCGGAGCUGCAAUAUUAAAUCCCAAGAUCUCCGCUGGUAUAGAAGGUAAUCCAAGGUAAAGCGCUGGAAAGGAAGGCAAUAUCCCAAAUCUCCCAGUAACCGGACGAAACACAGUUCAGGGAGUCAACUGACAAUUUUUAUUUACGGCUACAGGAGUCAACUGACAAUUUUAUUCACGGCUCCAGGAGUCAACUGACAAUUUUAUUCACUGCUGUUAGCCUAUGCAUGCUCUCUAUUCUAAAACACACACAUACAUUUUUACACCAGGUUAACACAGCUAUUUCAGACAACCUUUAAAUGUUCUGCAAUAAGUCUUAAAGUGGCUAGGUUUGCCACACUAUACCCUUUAUGGUUACUACCGCCUAGGUCAGGGGUCAGCAACCUAUGGCACAUGUGCCAUGCAUGGCACUCGAGGUGCCUUUGCACAUCACUCAAGGCUGCCAGAGACAAACAGGUUCUGGUAGAUCAGGAGUCCCAGUGGAACUUCAUAUAUUGCGAGUGCAAUAAAAAAAAUGUGAAUGCAGGUACAAUACUCAAUCUAUACAUUGCAGCACUUAGAGGAAGUGAUCUCAUAUAAUUUCCUCCAAGCUCUUGUGAAAGGAAAUAUGUUCUGGAGUAGAGUAGCCCACAUCAGUUAUCACAACUUCUCCAUCGCAGCUCCUUCUUUGAUCUGUACCUGGUCAGCCCAGUUCCCCAAUGGACACCAGGAAAGUAGUCCACACUGCUAUAUAUAUACAGAGCUGCAGAAGAUGCCUCUUCCUCAUACAAAUAAUACAAGCAGACUAUACACAAACACACACAGAGUCCCUGCCUACCCCUGGCCUAGGUCAUCCCUUCCACGUUAUGUUUAGCGCCAGAGUGAUUAUACCCUCCUGCACAGGUCACCGUUGUAUAGCUGGGAAUAAAUAUUUGGAUUUUAUUUCUAACCCCUGCCCAUUAUUUCUUAUCACAUGAUCUUUUGGGGGAGAGCACAGAAGGUGAAGGAGUACACCUAUACAUCCUACUUAUGUGUAUUUACCUGAGCCAGUGUUUGUAUACAGGCUGUCACGACAGUGACCCCUUCACGCAGAUAGUAACCCAGAAAGAGACGUAUACCGGACCUUAGGGUGGCCGGGCUUAACGUCAGAAAAUAGGCAAAGGAAUAGCCAGAGGUCAAGGGAGUACAGAAAACGGAAUACACGAGAAAUAACCAAGCCAAAAUUCGGGGAGGCAGAGAGGAGAGUAGUCAGUAAGGAAAGCCAAGGGUCAAUAUACCAGAAAACAGACAAAUUAAUCAAGAGCACUACAGGGAACAAACAAGAACCACACUAGGGCGCUGAGGGAAGGACAGGGGCACCCUUUUAUAGCGAGGUGUCAUUUGCUUUAAAGCCACACCCCCAAAACGUCCGGGAGCGUGGCCAUGUUUGAUUCUUUGCGGCAAAAUCCUGAUGACUUCGGCGCGCAUGCGCCACAUCAUAAGAGGAGGCGAGCGGCCAGCACCAGACAGGCUGCGACGCCUCCCGGAAGCAGCCAGGGAGAACGCCGCGCUGCGCGGGUCCGGAGGGAAAAGGUAAGGUAUCGUCACAGUACUCCCCCCUCGAGAACCGCCCCCAGGGCGGGGAGGACUCGGCCUGAGUGAACGACGCCUAGCAAACGAACGAACCAGGCGAGGAGCGUGCACAUCCGAGGCAUCCACCCCCAAAAGUUCCUCGGGGCCAUACCCUUUCCAGUCUAAAAGAUAUUGGAGACGACCUCUAGAAAUACGAGAGUCUAAAAUAGAUUUCACUUCGUAUUCGUUUUGGCCUUCUAUGAGUGUUGAAGGAGGUCUCGUGGGUAUUCGAGUAUAACGAUUACAAAUCAAAGGUUUUAGAAGAGAAACAUGAAAGGAAUUGGGUAUCUUCAUAGUAGCCGUUAAAUCCAGGCAAUAACAGACUGGAUUAAUGCGUUUGAGGAUCUUAAAAGGACCAAUAAAACGUGGAGCGAAUUUCAUAGAGGGGACUUUUAAUCUUAUAUUGCGUGUACUCAACCAUACUCUACCCCUUACCAUAAAAAUCGGAGUGGUUUUUCGUCGUUUGUCCGCUUUGCAUUUUUGAGUUACAGCCUUUUGAGUCAAAAUAUGUUUGACCCCUAACCAAGUUUCCUUCAUAUUCUUAAUAGUGUCGUCAACGCUUGGCACUCCCGUGGAUGAAAAGGAACUCGGAAGAGUAAUAGGGUCAAAGCCAUAAUUUAUAAAAAAAAGGGACAAUGUUGCGUAGAUUCGUGAAUCAUGUUGUUAUUGUGGGCAAAUGCAGCCCAAGGAAGUAAUUCUACCCAAUCAUCUUGAUGAUCGGAGGUGAAGCAGCAAAUGUAUUGUUCGAGUGAUUGAUUGAUUGAUUCAUCCUUUCUGUAACCCCGUUAGAUUGGGGAUAGUACGAAGAAGAUAGAUUAAGUUUGAUACCCAAUUGAUUACAAAAUGCUUUCCAGAACCUGGAAAUAAAUUGCGGACCUCUGUCUGAAACUAUAUCCACGGGUAUACCGUGCAAACGAACCACCUCCCUUAUAAACACCGUGGCCAGUUCGGAGGACAAAGGCAAUUUAAUUAAAGGGACAAGAUGGGUCAUCUUAGAAAAUCUGUCUAUUAUAGUCAGGAUUAUCCGGUGAUUUUUGGAAAGGGGUAGGUCCACUACGAAAUCCAUGGCGAUACUCGAGCAGGGCUUAUCGGGAAUAGGCAACGGCAUGAGGAGACCUAAAGGACGACCCUUAGGAGAUUUAUUAGAGGAACAGAUGUUAAAGGUUAAAACAAAUUCUUGAACAUCUUUCUUGUAUGAGGGCCACCAGAAUUGUUUUUCAAGUAAAGAUUCAGUCUUAUGGAUACCGGGAUGACCGGCAACCUUAGAGUCGUGUACCAAGGACAGGAUUUGUCUCCUAUAAUUUAAAGGUACGUAUAAUUUUCCCUGAGGGAUAGUCAAAGAGUUAUGAUCCUGGCAUUUGGAUAAUACCUCCAUUAAACUAGAAGAGACCUUAGCAUGAACUGUGGCUACUAUGUGAGAGGUAGAGAUUAUGGAGGAUAAAUGGGUUACAGGGGGAGAUAGAUGUUCAUGUUGUCGGCAUAGGGCAUCCGCUUUAGUAUUCUUAGAUCCGGGUCUAUACGUCACAAUGUAGUUAAAGCGUGUUAAAAACAAAGACCAACGAAUCUGCCUGUCAGACAUUCUUUCCGCCUCUCCGAAAUAGGAAAGGUUUUUAUGGUCAGUAAGAAUGGUGAUCGGUUCAGGUGACCCCUCUAAUAGAUGACGCCAUUCCUUGAGAGCUGAAAUAAUAGCUGAUAGUUCCCUAUCUCCUAUAUCAUAUCUUCUUUCCGUUUCAAUCAAUUUUUUUUGAGAAAAAAACCACAGGGAUGUAGGGGUUGAUCAUUCGAGGGUUGAUGCAGCCCCUAUCCCUGUCUCUGAGGCAUCUACCUCUAAUAGAAAGGGACACAAAGGAUUAGGAUGUCUUAAUACUGGUGCUGAAGAAAAAGCUAUCUUUAAUUUCUCAAAGCUUCCUUAGCUUUGGGACUCCACACCAUAUGAUUCCUAUUCUUUUUUGUCAUGGCAGUAAUAGGAGCGUUAAUAGAGGAAAACCCUUUGAUAAAUUUUCUAUAAUAAUUAGCAAAUCCCAGGAAACGUGGGAUGGCCUUAAGUCCAACGGGUAGGGGCCAGUUUAAGAUUGCUUCCAGUUUUUUGGGUUCCAUUUGAAAAUCCGAACCUGAAAUUAUAUAACCUAGGAAAUUAACCUUUUCCACGUCAAACAGACACUUUUCUAAUUUACAAUAGAGUCCGUUCUUCAAUAAUUUAGAUAGGACCAACCUGACGUGUCUAUGGUGUUCCUUAAUACUCUUAGAGUAGAUUAGUAUGUCAUCUAAAUAAACAACAACAAACAUUUGUAGAUAAUCUCUUAACCCCUUUAGACUGGAGGGCGUACAAUUACGCCCUAUUAUAGGUGGCUCUAAACGCCGCCGGCGUAAUUGUACGCCCUCCGGUUUUUGCCUACUUACCACGUCCGUCCUCGUCGAAGCCCCCCGGCCAUGUGAGAGUGGGGUCCUAGCGAGGACCCCACAAUCACAUGGCCGGGGAUAGCUGGCUUCUGUAUUGCGAGCAGGGGGCUGCCUGUAAUUACAGGUGGUCCCCCUGCUGGCUGGAAAUAAAAUGAAAUGUAUUAGUGUAAAAAAAAAAAUAUAUAUAUACUUAGAUCAUAUAUAUAUAUUAUAUAUAUUAUAUAUAUAUGAUCUAAGUAUAUAUACACACAUAUACAUACACACACGUACACCGUCUAGGUGUAUUUUACUAUUAAUAUACAUAUAAUUAUAUAUAUAUAUAUAUUAAUAUCAAAUUACACGUAGACUGAUACUGGUUAAAUAUAUAUAUAAUUAUUGUUAUAUAUAUAUUUAUAUAUAAUAUAAAAAAAUUAAAUAUGUAAAUACGUUAAAAAAUAAAAUUAAAAAAAUAAUUUAAAAAUAUAUAGAUGUGUGUUAUUUCAUUCUAACUGUAUUGUGAUAUUAAUAUAUAUAUAUAUAUAUAUUUAUAUCAAAAUACACGUAGAACGAAAUAAUAUAUAUAUCUACAUACAUAAAUAUAUACGUAUAUAUCACUAUAUAUAUACCAAUAUAUAAAUAAAAAUAUUUUAAAAAAAUUAUAUAGAUAUACACAUAUAGAUUCACAUAUGUAUAUAUAUACAUAUAUUAAUUCUACAUAUAUAUAUGUAAUAUUUUUACAUAAUUAGGUAUCUUAAUUAAUUACAAUUAGUGGGACCUGCAUGACAACCCAUGCCGAAAGUAAAGGGAAUUUAAUUGGCUAGCACUAUAUUUAACCCUAUAACUUUCCAAGACACCAUAAAACCUGUACAUGGGGGGUACUGUUCUACUCGGGAGACUUCGCUGAACACAAAUAUUAGUGUUUCAAAACAGUAAAAUGUAUUACAACGAUGAUAUCGCCAGUAAAAGUGAGCAUUUUUCACGCACAAACAGCAUUACACGGACAAUAUUAUUGCUGUGAUACUUUUACUGUUUUGAAACACAAAUAUUUGUGUUCAGCGAAGUCUCCCGAGUACAACAGUACCCCUCAUGUACAGGUUUUAUGGUGUUUUCAAAAGUUACAGCGUCAAAUAUAAGGCUUGCGUUUCAUUUUUUUCACAUUAAAAUUUGCCAGAUUGGUUACGGUGCCUUUGAGACACUAUGGUAGCCCGAGAAUGAAAAUUACCCCUAUGAUGGCAUACCAUUUGCAAUAGUAGACAACCCAAGGUAUUGCAAACGGGGUAUGUCCAGUCUUUUUUAGUAGCCACUUAGUCACAAACACUGGCCAAAAUUGGCGUUUUUUGCAUUUUUCACACAAACAAAUACUAACGCUAACUUUGGCCAGUGUUUGUGACCAAAUGGCUACUAAAAAAGACUGGACAUACCCCAUUUGCAAUACCUUGGGUUGUCUACUAUUGCAAAUGGUAUGCCAUUAUGGGUGUAAAUUUCAUUCCUGGCUACUAUAACGUCCCAAAGGCAACGUAACCUACCUGGCGAAUUUCAAUUUCAAAUGUAACGUGCUAUAUUUAACCCUGUAACUUCUCAAAACGCCAUAAAACCUGUACAUAGGGGGUACUGUUUUACACGUGAGACUUUGCUGAAUCAAAAUAUGUGUAUUUUAUUGCAGUAAAAGCAAACAGUAUUAUGACAUUGACAGUUAAAAUGUCAUGUAGAACAAAAAAAAUAAAAAAAAUCUUAUUUUCUCCCAUUUUUUUUCAUAUUAAAUUAUGUGUCACAUCUAAAUAUUUGAUAUUAAAUGAAAGCCCUGUUUCCCCUGAAUAAAAUGAUACGUAAUAAGGGUGGGUGCAUUUACUAUGAAAUAGGUGAAUUACGGUUGGACAGACAUGUAGCGCAAAUGCCAGGUUUUGUUUACAUUUUGUUUCGUUCACAACGUGUACAUUUGGCUCCGUCCUUAAGGGGUUAAUACAUCGUUUAUAAAAUCUUGAAAGACUGCAGGGGCGUUGCAUAGGCCAAAGGCAUAACCCUGUAUUGAUAAUGGCCAUAGCAAGUAUUGAAAUCAGUCUUCCACUCAUGUCCAUUCUUGAUUCUAACUAAAUUGUAUGCUCUCCGUAAAUCCAACUUAGUGAAUAUGGUUGCUCCCUUCAAUCUGUCGAAAAGCUCGGUUAUUAGAGGUAUAGGAUAAGCGUUUUGUAUGGUUAUUUUGUUUAAACCCCGAUAGUCAAUACAAGGUAUCAAGUCUCCCUCCUUUUUAGAAACAAAGGAAAAAAUGGCCCCAGCCGGGGAGGAAGACUUAGUAAUAAAACCCUUUUUUAAGUUCUCUGUGAUGUACUCUUCAAGUACUUUAUUUUCAGUCACAGAGAUGCCCCCCUAGGGGGCAUAGUACCGGGUAAUAGGUCAAUAGUGCAGUCGUAUGAACAAUGGGGUGGUAACUUUUCUGCCUCCCUUGGUUCAAAGACCGCCUUGAGAUCCCAAUAUUGUUUGGGUAUUCGGGUGGUUAAGGGUUGCAAAGUAGGAACAUUAAGUAGACCUACUGGUUUGACUUGAAUAAUACACUCUUUAAAACAAAAUUCGCCCCAUUUUACGAUCUCUUUUCUCUCCCAGUCUAUUAAAGGAUUGUGCUUGGUGAGCCAAGGAAACCCAAGUAUAACAGGAAAGGUGGGAGAAGUUAUUUGCUGUAGAGUUAUAAUUUCUUGAUGCAAUGAACCUACAGUCAAGACUAAGGGAUUAGUUUCCUGAGUAAUAAAAGGAAUUGACAGUUGUCUACCAUCUAUGGCCUUAACGGCCAAGGGUGUUGAUCUUUCUUGGAAUGGGAGAUCGUGAUGCUGACCGAAUUUGCGAUCAACAAAAUUCUCGGCUGCCCCAGAAUCUAUUAACGCAAUGGUUGUUACUUUCCUUCCCAUUCGAUAGUUAUAGGUAGAAGAAGCCUGAGAUCUUUCUUGUCAUUGAAGGAGGACAUACAGAUUACACCCAAGGCCUGUCCUCCUAGAGGGCUUAGAUGCUGGAGUUUUCCGGCCUACUUGGACAGUGUAAGCAGGAAUGCCGUCUUUUCCCACAAUACAUACAAAGUCCCUCCCUUCGUCUAUAUAAUCUCUCUGGUUCAGGUAACUGCGUGGUUCCCAAUUGCAUGGGUUCUGCGGGAGUGACAGCGGUUGCCUCAGACGAAGCGUCAUAAGAGGAGGCGUGCCGCGAGCAGCCAGCGCCAGACAGGCUGCGCCGCCUCCCUGAAGCAGCCAGGGAGAAUGCCGUGCUGCGCGGGUCCGCAGGGAAAAGGUAAGGUAUCCUCACACAGGCUCAUAAAAAUGUGAGUAGGAUGCAUCUUUCCUUUUAACAUUUUAGACACAGUGUAGACAUUAUACAGGCUAUAAUGCCCUAUGUGAGCCUUUUUAUUUUACAGAAAAUUCCCUCUGGGAAAAGACUAUUUUAAGUGUAUGUACUAUAUCUCACUACUGCACUUUUGAGAUCACUGUGCACUUUAUUCUUGUUAUUAGUUCACAGAGCGCUAACCUCCAUUUUUUGCUUUGUUCUAUAUGUUUCUUGUGGAAUUAAGUGGUUGAUUUCACGGGGGGGUUUUAGCAGCACUAUUUCAAUACUACAAGCGCCAAUUUACCACUUACUUCCUAUAUACCGUAUUAUAGCUAUCUCAUCCAAACACUAGCCGAGACUUAGUGAAGGGUAAAUUAGAACUGGUUUAUUAAGGCAAGGAACACUGACUUUAUACACAGACCCACAGCAUGGGUUCUCUAUUAAGUAACAAAAGCCUGCCCAGGCGUCUCUGUUUCUGGUAGAUAAUUGUGUCAGCUCUAGGUUAAAUUCAUUAACUCCUGGACACAGAAAGCCGAACAUACAAAACCUCCAAAAAUACACAUAAUAGACACCUCCACAUGCCAUACAUCCCCAGAAAGGUCUCUCUGGAGAACCAAAUCUGUUCAAAAAUUUCCCGGAUUGAAAAUGGCUAGCCUGAAUUAGGUUGAAGUCCAAAGUUAAACAUGACGCGGCUAGCCUCUGAUCCGGUGCAGAGUUAUAGAGUGCUGGGUAGAGUUUCCCGGUCACCUUAAAACAUAGUGCUUUCUGCGAAUAGAAGGAGCUCCCCCAAGUCCUAGGUGUCAUUCGAUGCCUCUCCACCUCCUUUGUUAACCCUCCAAAAAGUGCUCUAAAUUAUGGUCCAGGGACAGAGAACGCUCUGUUAAAUUAGAUAUUAAUUUUAGUCGCUGCAAUCCGAUUUUUGUUCCAGGGGAGUUCAAGGUAGUUCUCUGCCAAGCGCACCGUACAUCAGUGGUGGACAACUGGUUAUUCUGAGUCGGCAAGAGAGUAACGCUGGGCUUGGGGCCACAGGCUGGAGGGUUAGUUAAUAGUGAUGUAAGUUUUUUGAAAGGAGGUGGAAUGUUGGGGAGUCCUGUAACCUAGCGAGGUGACCAAGUGGCUCGUCACACCCUAGAAAUAAAUUCAAGGGAUGGUACUGCGGGUUGCAGCACAACCCUUUUGAUAAUGUAUAUCUGUUGUGCUGCGGUGCUCUGUUUUUACAUAGCUGAGCAAUGGAACCGCACCCCCUUUGAACUGUAGUUUGGUUUGGAGUACUGCCAUUUAUUCAUAUGGGUGGACUCAUGCCUGGCGAUGACACCCCACUACGUUGUUCUGUUCGGAUGUGAUAGGUUGGUGACCCAAGUAGGAGGGAAUUGAAUCCCCUUUUGAAUCUGCACUUUUACCUCAGUCUCUGUUUAUCCCCUGACAAAGAUGCAUUGAUGCAAAGGUGCAUUGACGCACCAAAACAUGCGUUGGGUUGUUUAUUUUAUUUUACCUCACUUUUGCACAAGUGACACUUCACUAUGGAUAUUUAGUUUGGCAGUAGUGUAAUCUGAUGUAGCAAUAGUUUAGGACUAAAUGUUAGUAGGUUGCUGUCAAUACACCAACCAAGAUACUUUGGCUUCUUGUAUCUUUUGAACCAGUGGAUUUUUGCAGUCUAUAUAUCCUUUCCUACAUAUAGAUUAGUAUUAACUUGCUCUAUAUUUUGCAACAACCGAGGUAUUCUGUUUUAUUAUUUUCAUUGAGGGAACGUUCCAUUUCUUUAGGAGUAUAUAUAUUUAUUGACAUUGGUUUAAGAUGUCUUUCCUGUACCACACAGCUCCUUACCCUUUGAGGACUGUGGGAGACAUUUUGUUCAUCUUCAUCCUAUCUCUCUAUGCUAGUCUGUUUAUAACCCCAGAUGUGUGGAGAUUUAUUUAAUCAUCUCUCUGACCAUUUAGAUGACUCAGAUUUACUUGACUUGUCUGUAGUUAUAUUAGACAUCCCUAUAUUGAUAUCAUUUGUCUUGCAGAUGAUCUUGAUGGUGUUUUCCAAGGAUUGAGGGGAAUUACAAAUCUCCACUUCUACUUUCUAUUUACACUUAGUGUAUCAAUUGUUCUAUAUAUAUAAUUCCCUCUAGUGUUACCUAUUGCAACAUUUGGUUUUGACACAGUGUAUAUUAGGCACAGCACAACAAAGCCUGCUUUGUACACAGGAACAGACUGUUUCUUUUGCUACAAUAUACACACUAUUCUCUAGUCCUUUUAAGGAGUCCUAUUCAUACUGUGAUAUUUAUUUACCAGUUAAGAAGAGUUUUAUGGGUCCCUUUUCCUCUUCUUUUAUAAUUGUUACGGGCACAUCAUUAGCAUCUGUUUCAGCUCCUUUCAGCAGCAUUCCUCUGGCUGACUAAACGUUAUAUAUAUAUAUAUACACAUACAUACACACACACACACUCUCUCUCUCUCUCUCUUUCUGUCAGUGCAGCAGGGAUAUUUGUACUGCUUGGCACAUUCUUGUUCUUUUUUGGGGGAGUUAUUUGUAUUUUGGCUGUAAGUCUGACCUUCUGGUUGAUCAGAUCUAAUUAGGUGAAUUCAGUUUUUUUAGCCUUUGUUGAGUUGCUGUUGGUUUUGUGUGUACGGUGUACCAAUUUUCAGUGAUUGGUAUAUUUUAAUGCAGUUUUCAUAUUUUUUUUUUUUUUCUGGGAGUUUUUUUUUUUUAACAGAGUUUCUGUUAUCCAAAAAUAUAUUGGUUUAGAUAGGUUUUCUACAGGAUAUUUCUGUUUUUUUACUGUAUAUUAAGCUCUUGGUUAGAGGAUUAUUGGUGUAGCGGACCUCUGCUAAACUCUCCUCUCAGCCAGAAAUGGAAGCUUCAGUAAAUAUAACUCUUCUCCCAGUAACUAGAUGACACAUAGUCCUAUGUGUAUAUCUGAUUUUAUUGUUCUGAAUGCAUCCUUAUAUGCAUUGACCCCCAGCAUGGGGUCUCCAUUCAUUACAUACAGAUCCUGCCCAGGUGCCUUUGUGUCUGGGAGAUAAUUGAUUCAAGGCAAACUAAAUUAAUUAUCUCCUGAAAUCACAUAAAAACCGUUAGGAACCCCCAUAAAUCUUAUAUUCCCUGAUAGCUCUGAAGGGAGAACAAAAUGUGGCCAAAAAGCGCCCUGAUCCAUGUAGGUUUGUGUAAAUGCUAACCCUUUAAAGUUAUGGAUAUUUGCCGGUUCUUUAACAGGGUAUCUCUGGUCAGUCGGGUAAGGGUGCCCCCUCCUUGGUAACGAUUGUCCCUCCUGAGGUAUUGUAACUUCCCUCCAAAGAGUGCUCUCAUUAGGCAUUGAGAAAGGGGUGAACACCAGGGUGCAAGUUGACCGGGACAAGGUGAUACUUGUGGCUGAGCUGGAGUUACAGGGCAACAACAGAUAAGUCCCGCUGAUGCGUUUGGUAUACUACAGCUUGGGAGAUGAGCUGGGAACUGGGGCAGAGAGAGGCUCAUGCUGAAUUCCUGUGAAGGGGAGGAGGGACAGAGGACCAGGGUAGUGUUAUAGUUUUUAGUGUAGUUUUGGUGGUAUUCGCCACAAUUGGCUGUUUUGUUUUUAGCUUAUUGGUCCCCUUAUGACUUCUUCAGUUUGGUCAAAAUAUAGGUCGCACUCAAGAGGUACAAGGGAAGCCAUGGAUGUUUUAAGUUGGUUCUUUUAAACAUUUAAAAAGGAUGCUUUGGAUUUAAUUCUUUUAAUUAUUAUUUUUUUUUUUAUGUUUAUGUUUCAGCUCCCUAAGAUCACCUUAGAGGCCUCAGUUGUAACCAUGGAGAGAAAAGACCCAGAAGCAAUACAGACCACAUAGUUGGGAAAGGUCGGUGAAAUCCAAUAAAAUGAACUUUAAAAUAGGAUUUUACAGUAAACUUUCUGUUAAAAGAAGUUAUUUUGUCAUCUGAGGAGGAAGAUCAUUCUAUAUUAGUCUUUGAUGAAAGAAAAAGAAAAGCUUUGAUCAAGGCUUUGAGGAAAACCAUCAACAUAAAAAAAAGGCUGCAGAAGAACCAGUAAGCAUUUUUUUGCUAGCUUAAGGAAAAAGUAUUCUCUUCUCCAUGAGAGUCUUUUCUUCUCCGUGAGACUAUCAGAGACUUGAUUCAAGAAGAAUGGAAGAAGGUGGGGAAUAAGGGUGUCAAUCAAGGGCAGAAUGACUAGAUUUUACACUUUUAAGAAGGCAGACUCAGAAGUUUGGUGCUCCACUCAUAAAGUAAAGUCAGUUGCCAUGCUAAUUAAUCUUUUGGUAGUUGAUGCCAGAUCUC
Molecule: long non-coding RNA, 13428 nt
Filed under: Pelobates cultripes (western spadefoot toad)
Lineage: Eukaryota; Metazoa; Chordata; Amphibia; Anura; Pelobatidae
Source: RNAcentral